RNAcentral lists this unclassified non-coding RNA (4022 nucleotides) under Haliotis rufescens (red abalone). RNAcentral's name for it is "switch-associated protein 70-like, transcript variant X1". The stretch from base 3910 to 3981 matches the Rfam family "tRNA". Lineage: Eukaryota; Metazoa; Mollusca; Gastropoda; Lepetellida; Haliotidae. The record is from RNAcentral.
UCAAAAUAUGUCAAGAUGGCGACAACUGGCGAAGUCCAGAAAAGUUUGUGGCACGCAUUCAAUGCUUUAGAUGCCCAGCAAUCAGGGGAUGUACAAAAAUCACGUCUAAAGGUGUUAACGAACAAUAUCGGCCGGGUGUUUGAUGUGGAGAAGGCCGAGGAGCUGCUGGACAACAUCGAAUACUCAACAUCGCGGCAGUCCUUGACCUUCACCAAGUUCUAUGAGGUCAUCGAAAACGACUUACUGUUUCAACUGAACGGCAACCUCAGCAGCAGCUCCACAUCGCACAUCUUGGAACAAAUAGACAAUAUCUGCUGGAUGCUAUGCGAAACAAAAUACGUGAAAAAGAACAACAAUGACACUGGACAGGUGCAGAAGUUGUACGACAAGGAAAUAUUCAAGCUGGUCAAAGUGUUUAAUUUCUGUGUGGAAGUGAGCGAGGAUGACCGUAAAGUUAUUUUUCCACUGACAAUUGACGUAGAGGAGGCUCAGCAUGUGUGCUGUAUUAUGUCCCGAAGCCUGGGGCUGUGUGUCGAUCGCAAGCGGGAGUUUUCCAGGAAGGGAGAUAAUCCACAGCUAGGGGAUCAGUUGGUUGGUUUUCCUGCUUUCCUUGAUGGACUAGAGGCUUGUUUUCAUGAUCUGAGUGCGAUGGACCUAUCACAGGGGAUACACGAGGUGCACGAUAUGAUUAUUGGAGAUACGCUAAAAAAGGGUCACAUGGUCAAAUUUGGCAACCGACUGACAAGUUGGAAGGAGCGCUGGUUUGUGCUGACUGCCCAGGAGUUGCGGUACUACACGGGGUGUGACGAGCGAGAACUAAAGGGGGCCAUUGAUGUCACAAAGGCCUGCAAGGUCGAGCCAUUGCCAGAUAAGAUCGGCACCAAAACCAACCGUUUCAUCCUGCACACCUCCGGUAAACAGUAUGAGUUGUCUGCCCCUGAUCUCAAGUCCAGAAAUGAAUGGAUAUCAGCAAUACAGAAGGCCAUUGACCACUCGUACGCCAGCAAGGACGAGUCCAUCCAGCGGCUGUCAUGGUGGGAAAGAAGGAAAGAGAGAGCAGCAAGGCGGAAAGAAGCAGAUGAAGAAGCCAAGAGGAGGAAGGAAGAGCAGGAGCUCCUUGUGAAGCAGCAGAAGGAGCUGGAGGAAGAAAAGGAGCGGAACAACAGAGAUAAGCUCCUUCUUGAACAACAGCUGCAGGAACUGGAGGCAGAGAGACAGGCGCGAGCUGAGAUCGAGGCUCAGCUUCGAGAGCAGGCUGUGCUCCGAGAAGCAGAACAACAACGACUCAAAGAGUUGGAGGAGAUCCGACAACAGAUGGAGAAGCUCCUGGAGGAGGAACGCCAAGCCAAGCGGGACGAGGAGAUUGUCCGCAACCUGCAAGCAAGGAUCUUGGAGGAGGAGUUUGAGAAGAGGACGGAGUUGGAGAAGCUGAAGGAGCAGCAGGAGGUGUUGCUGGAGGAGGAGCGCAGGCACCGGGCAGGCAUGGAGAAGGCCCGGGUAGAGGCCGACUCACAGCUCAUUGAGGCCAGAGAUAGGCUGAAGGAGCUGGAGCUGGAGGGGAAGCAGGCUGAGAGCCAACUGACGGAAGCAACCAGCAAGUUAAGACUUGCGGAGGAGGAGCGGGUCAAGCUGGAGGCAAGGCUGAAGGUGAAGGAAUCUAAGACCAUCGGGCUAGCCAGACCCACGUGUGUUCCUGAUCCCGAUCCCUUCACCACACACAGGGGCAAAGGUGCAUUUGUACAGGCAGACUUCCAGGCCAAGGCUGCCCACAUUGCAAACACCACCACACAGCUAUAGUGAAGAGCAUGCUUGGAGGUCAUUGGCAGAGACAUUGGCAGAGAUAUUGGAAACAUGGUUGUGGGCAUAGAGGCACCUGAGCACUGGACCAGAACAUGUUUGAUGCACUUGAUAUAUUCACGGUUGUUGAGACCCCCAAACGCUAUAGACCAAUACACAGUUGUAGUUCAGACACCAGAGCACUAUAGACCAAUACACAGGUGUAGUUGAGACAUCAGAACACUAUAGACCAAUACACAGGUGUAGUUGAGACAUCAGAACACUAUAGACCUAUACACAGGUGUAGUUGAGACAUCAGAACACUAUAGACCAAUACACAGGUCAGAACACUAUAGACCAAUACACAGGUGUAGUUGAGACAUCAGAACACUAUAGACCAAUACACAGGUGUAGUUGAGACAUCAGAACACUAUAGACCAAUACACAGGUGUAGUUGAGACACCAGAACACUAUAGACCAAUACACAGGUGUAGUGAAGACAUCAGAACACUAUAGACCAAUACACAGGUGUAGUGAAGACAUCAGAACACUAUAGACCAAUACACAGGUCAGAACACUAUAGACCAAUACACAGGUGUAGUUGAGACAUCAGAACACUAUAGACCAAUACACAGGUCAGAACACUAUAGACCAAUACACAGGUGUAGUGAAGACAUCAGAACACUAUAGACCAAUACACAGGUGUAGUUGAGACACCAGAACACUAUAGACCAAUACACAGGUGUAGUGAAGACAUCAGAACACUGUAGACAAAUACACAGGUGUAGUGAAGACAUCAGAACACUAUAGACCAAUACACAGCUGUAGUUGAGACAUCAGAACACUAUAGACCAAUACACAGGUGUAGUGAAGACAUCAGAACACUAUUGACCAAUACACAGGUGUACCAAGUUAAAUAUGUAUGUUGUCGAUGACUCCCAUCUGGGAAACACUGUGGUUUAUAUGUUUAUAUGACCUGUGACAUCCCCUGAGUACCUGACCAGGUAAGGUGAGGAUGCUGUUUAUAUUUAGAUGUCCUUUUAGUCUGUGGAUGCUGAGGAUACAGCAAUUGUGAUGACAUUAUAUUUUAUAUCUUUUACUGUUACUGUUUAUUAUAAAUGAUAUGGCAGUCUGCCAGGACUUCAUGUUUGGGAUAUAUAUUUAUGUAAAUAGAUUCUGUUCGGAUACUUUACCGUGAAUGACUUUGAAAAAGUGUGUGAUAUGUUAUAUUGAGUGUAUAUUAAUGAAUAUACAUUUAAGUUUUAUGUUGUAGACUUUUGUGGUUAGAUCAACAUUUUGCCCACAAUCCCGAAGAAUAGGGUCAUCACUGAAGGCACUUGUACUUAAGAUUGUUUGUAUUUUUCCAAGUGCUAGAAAUUAACGAUGGUCCGUGAUGUUCCCUCUGUGGUACAUGUAUUUUAUUCAGGAGAUUCCUCAAGUUUUAUUUUGUUAGAUGACGUUUGUGUCACGGACCCAUCAACAUUUUUAUCCUUAGUUACAAACAUUGUUUCAAAGAACAUGAUCUUUUGAGAAAGUCAAGAAAUAUUUUAUGUAAGUGUGGGAUGUUAACACAGGUUAACAUUUGGCAGGGGUUACAAUAUCUGUGAUUUCUAGAAUUGGAAAAAUAUUAUACUUGUGUGUUUUUUUCAUUUGCUGUGUUUAAAAACACUUGUCUUAGCAUAUAGCAUCUCCUUGUAUGGGACUGAUCAUUUAUUAUAGAAAGGGGUGGUCAGGUGUGAUCAGACAAAGGACUGUAUUAUAUUUUGCUGACCAUAACCUUUAACACAUCCCCACACCCCCCACACACCCAAACAUUUCCCCAAUACAUGCACCAGUUUGUUAGGCCCCUCCUCCUCUAGUAAAUGUCCAGCCCCUCAAUAAUGUUCAAAUAUAUUUUUUUAAUAUAUUUUCAUCCACCCUCAGGGGCGGUCGGGUAGCCUAGUGGUUAAAGCGUUCGCUCGUCACGCCGAAGACCCAGGUUCGAAUCCCGACAUGGGUACAAUGCGUGAAGCCCAUUUCUGGUGUCCCCCGCCGUGAUAUUGCUGGAAUAUUGCUAAAAGCGGCGUAAAACCAUACUCAUCCACCCUCAGCCCCCUGCCAAUAUUUGUGUCCCUCCUCUUCUGCUGUGGGGGCGGUCGGGUAGCCUAGUGGUUAAAGCGUUCGCUCGUCACGCCGAAGACCCGGGUUCGAAUCCCGACAUGGGUACAAUGCGUGAAGCCCAUUUCUGGUGUCCCCAGCCGUGAUAU